Gasterosteus aculeatus aculeatus (three-spined stickleback) is the source of this 940-nucleotide non-coding RNA. The record is from RefSeq and is a predicted model, not a curated record. Lineage: Eukaryota; Metazoa; Chordata; Actinopteri; Perciformes; Gasterosteidae.
UGUCAUUUUUAUAGUUUUGUUCAACUGUUUUAUCUCCCCUAAAGACUUAAGCUGUGUACUGUCUCCUGUUUUUGUUUCUCUACAGAUGAGAAGGACUCUCAUAUCUUGUGUAUUUCUUGAGUGGAGCUCUAACUUUUACCAUCAUCCUUAAUGUCCUUCUGGUUUUCUUACUUUGCAUGAUGAACAAGAGAAACCGCUGUGAAGUAACCGAGUCUCAUGCAAGAUGUUCAGCUCCCUCCACACCAAAUGCAGAGGGUGAACGAAAUGAAUCAAACAUCCAAUAUGCGGUGGUAAGAGAACAAAAGAUCAGCAGAUCUAGAAGACAAAGAAACAACCUUGAGACUGAAUGCACAUACUCAACUAAAAGCAGGAGUGUACGUGCUUCAAAGGGGUACCAAGCAGACCUAUGAGACGCUGAGGUCAUUUUAUCACUGUCUUUCUUGUGACUACAUGUUGAAGCUGCAACUGAUACUCCUUUCUGAAAAGAUGUGCUGAUCUCAAGUUUACGUGAGAUAACUCUAUGAAUCCAGGCUGUUCAUGAAGGAAAGGAAAAAAACUGGAUGGAAGGUAUGACAUAAACAGUUACAAAACUAAAAUUUGAUUUAAGACCUUGGGCGGGUGUGGCAGAGUCAACAUGCCUUUGGCUUUAAGUUACACGAGUCUGAGUCCAUAUACACAUUCAUUGGCUCUCUAUCUGAAGGGCUUUUGUUCGUCGGCUUGCUGCUGUGAGUUAUUUGUUAAACUUGAAUCAAACAUGAUGGUGGUUUUGGGAAAAUGUGUUGAAAAACCACACACAAAUAUCCCAGAUCACCUGAUAUUUUUUUGUGUCACAUGUAACAUGUGACGUAAAAGUCCUUUUGGACAGAAUGUUAGGAGUGAAAAUUAAAUACUAAUUGUUUCAAUUGUGUUUCAAUGUGAAAUAGUAACUUUUUGUGCAGUG